AGAGCGAACGCUGGCGGCGUGCUUAACACAUGCAAGUCGAGUGCGCGCCUGUAGCAAUACAGGUGGCGCACGGCGCACGGGUGCGUAACACGUGGGUAAUCUGCCCUUCGAUGGGGAAUAACUCGCCGAAAGGCGAGCUAAUUCCGCAUAACAUUCCGAGAACUUCGGUUUUCGGAUUCAAAGGCGUAAGUCGUCGGAGGAGGAGCCCGCGCACGAUUAGCUAGUUGGUGAGGUAAUGGCUCACCAAGGCUAUGAUCGUUAG
Molecule: ribosomal RNA, 262 nt
Filed under: uncultured bacterium
Lineage: Bacteria
Description: partial small subunit ribosomal RNA
Rfam family: Bacterial small subunit ribosomal RNA
Source: RNAcentral